Molecule: ribosomal RNA, 459 nt
Filed under: uncultured bacterium
Lineage: Bacteria
Description: partial 16S ribosomal RNA
Rfam family: Bacterial small subunit ribosomal RNA
Source: RNAcentral
CCUACGGGGAGCAGCAGUGAGGAAUAUUGGUCAAUGGACGAGAGUCUGAACCAGCCAAGUAGCGUGAAGGAUGACUGCCCUAUGGGUUGUAAACUUCUUUUAUGCGGGGCUAAAGGUGUCCACGUGUGGAUGUUUGCAGGUACCGCAUGAAUAAGGACCGGCUAAUUCCGUGCCAGCAGCCGCGGUAAUACGGAGGAUGCGAGCGUUAUCCGGAUUUAUUGGGUUUACAGGGUGCGUAGGCGGAAUAUCAAGUCAGCGGUAAAAAUUCGGGGCUCAACCUCGUCGUGCCGUUGAAACUGAUGUUCUUGAGUGGGCGAGAAGUAUGCGGAAUGUGUGGUGUAGCGGUGAAAUGCAGAGAUAUCACGAAGAACUCCGAUUGCGAAGGCAGCAUACCGGCGCCCAACUGACGCUGAAGCACGAAAGCGUGGGUAUCGAACAGGAUUAGAUACCCCGGUAGUC